RNAcentral lists this small RNA (843 nucleotides) under Lachnellula resinaria. Its description in RNAcentral is "eukaryotic LSU rRNA". The stretch from base 532 to 685 matches the Rfam family "5.8S ribosomal RNA". The record is from RNAcentral. Lineage: Eukaryota; Fungi; Ascomycota; Leotiomycetes; Helotiales; Lachnaceae.
GACAUCCUUCCCAGGAAUCGUUCGGAAGCCUAUGCAACCUCAAGAGGGUCCGCGACUGUAAAUAACGGAUGCAAGUAGCCCUAAGCUGCAACAUAAUCGAAUUGCGGGGACGUCCUAAAGCCUAGCGGUACCAACCCCCGGGGGAAACCCCAGGGAGGCCUGUGCUAAUCACGCAGGAGGUAAGAACCCGUUAGGAUGCUACAGUGGAUGAUCCGCAGCGAAGCCCCUACCGGCAUACGCCUACGGGGAACGUCCACAGACUAAGUGGUUAUGGGUAGAGCGUGCUCUGCUUAAGAUAUAGUCGGUCUCCCUGGGAAACUGGGGCGGUUAGAUGUUCCGUAGGUGAACCUGCGGAAGGAUCAUUACAGAGUUUCAUGCCCUUCUGGGUAGAUCUCCCACCCUUGUAUAUAUAAUUAUCCGUUGCUUUGGCCGGCCGCGAGCCUAGCUUGCCUGGGCUUCUACCCGGCGUGCCCGCCAGAGGAUACCUCAACCCUGAAUGUUAGUGUCGUCUGAGUACUAUAAAAUAGUUAAAACUUUCAACAACGGAUCUCUUGGUUCUGGCAUCGAUGAAGAACGCAGCGAAAUGCGAUAAGUAAUGUGAAUUGCAGAAUUCAGUGAAUCAUCGAAUCUUUGAACGCACAUUGCGCCCCUUGGUAUUCCGGGGGGCAUGCCUGUUCGAGCGUCAUUAUAACCAAUCCAGCCUGGCUGGGUCUUGGGCAUCGCGGUGUAGCGGGCCUUAAAAUCGGUGGCGGUGCUCUCAUGCUCUACGCGUAGUAACUUUCUCGCUAUAGUGUUAUGGGAGAUGCUGGCCAAAACCCCCCAAUUUUUAAGGUUGACCUCGGA